Molecule: ribosomal RNA, 479 nt
Filed under: Neisseria sicca
Lineage: Bacteria; Pseudomonadati; Pseudomonadota; Betaproteobacteria; Neisseriales; Neisseriaceae
Description: bacterial SSU rRNA
Rfam family: Bacterial small subunit ribosomal RNA
Source: RNAcentral
AUUGACCGCUGGCGGCAUGCUUUACACAUGCAAGUCGGACGGCAGCACAAGAAGAAGCUUGCUCCUGGUGGCGAGUGGCGAACGGGUGAGUAACAUAUCGGAACGUACCGAGCAGUGGGGGAUAACUAAUCGAAAGAUUAGCUAAUACCGCAUAUCUUCUGAGGAAGAAAGCAGGGGACCAUUUGGCCUUGCGCUGUUUGAGCGGCCGAUAUCUGAUUAGCUAGUUGGUGGGGUAAAGGCCUACCAAGGCGACGAUCAGUAGCGGGUCUGAGAGGAUGAUCCGCCACACUGGGACUGAGACACGGCCCAGACUCCUACGGGAGGCAGCAGUGGGGAAUUUUGGACAAUGGGCGCAAGCCUGAUCCAGCCAUGCCGCGUGUCUGAAGAAGGCCUUCGGGUUGUAAAGGACUUUUGUCAGGGAAGAAAAGGGCGGGGUUAAUACCCCUGUCUGAUGACGGUACCUGAAGAAUAAGCACCGG